Molecule: ribosomal RNA, 323 nt
Filed under: uncultured eukaryote
Lineage: Eukaryota
Description: partial 18S ribosomal RNA
Rfam family: Eukaryotic small subunit ribosomal RNA
Source: RNAcentral
CCCUUAGAUGUUCUGGGCGGCCCGCGCACUACAAUGGCGCUUUCAGCGAGUUCCUAUGUUGAAUUUUCCUGGGUAUUCUUGGAAGCGGCGUCUUGACUUGGGAUAGAUCCUUGUAAUUGUUGGUUUUGAACGGGGAAUUCCUUGUAAUCGCGGUUGAUCAGCUCGCGUUGAAUACGUCCCUGCCCUUUGUACACACCGCCCGUCGCACCUACCGAUUGAAUGGUCCGGUGAAGCCUCGGGAUUGUGGCGAGUUCCCUUUAUUGGGAGUUUGUCGCGAGAACUUGUCUAAACCUUAUCAUUUAGAGGAAGGUGAAGUCGUAACA